AACUGGAAGUAAUGCUGGAAACACAUAAUGGUCAAACGGCUCCAAACAAGGAGAAAUCUGAUCUCCACAGUAAAUUCAAGGACGGAAUAUCAUGCUGGCGGCUGGGGUAUCAGUUCCCCAGGUCCACCCCACCCUCAGCCACUUUCCAAGAGGCCAGAUGGGAAUGACAGAGGUACUCGCCUACAAGCAGUACCUGGAGGUUUGGGGAACUAUGCAGCUGCCUGAAGAUAAUCUCCUAGCAGCAGAUACACAGGCUUUGGAGCCUUCCGUUUCUCACUGGUUUCCAGUGCAGUCGCAGGUUUAGCCUUACAAGGGUAUUGGUCGCCUUGAAGCUGAGGCCACUUUUAAAUUUGAAGUUAAAGAUGUUGGAGAGUGUGUGCCUUCAUUUCGGGGCUGCCCUCUUGCUGACAUUCCUGAAAAAGCAACCUGCUGAGCCGGCUCCCAUCAUCUCAACUUCGAUGGUGAUCCCAGCACUUGGCUAUUAGUUAGAUUGAUUUCUUGAUUUGCCUCAUUAGUAUGGAUACUGGAGUGGAAUUUGAGGGUCUGUGUAAAAGUCACAGCAACAUCUGACCCCUGUACGUGUACAGUUCAAUGUUGAAAUUCGGAAGAUGUUGCGAGAGAUACAAUGUUUGGCUACACAGUGCACUGUUGGAGAUUUUGCUGACAAAGUCAUUGACAGUCAAUAACUGUGCACUUCAUCGAAUUGUGCACUUUUCUCACUGCAAAAGAAAUUAAUGGAAAAUGAAGGUUUCGUUUAGUCAUGAAUUCUUAACAGCAUACUAAGCUUUAACUGUUUCUGCACAACAUCUCUGGCCCUGAAAAGCUAAUUUUGAAAGCUUAGUCUUACUCUCUCAGGAAAAAAAACGUAAAUUUGCAGAUUUUAAACAAAAUAUAAGAAAAGUUUUGUUCUGAUAAUUACGUUUCUCAAAUAACCCCA
Stegostoma tigrinum is the source of this 937-nucleotide long non-coding RNA. RefSeq lists it as uncharacterized. The transcript is spliced from 3 exons. The record is from RefSeq and is a predicted model, not a curated record. NCBI's taxonomy places the organism in Eukaryota, Metazoa, Chordata, Chondrichthyes, Orectolobiformes, Stegostomatidae.